This is a long non-coding RNA of Lagopus muta (rock ptarmigan), 1188 nucleotides long. RefSeq lists it as uncharacterized. The transcript has 3 exons. NCBI's taxonomy places the organism in Eukaryota, Metazoa, Chordata, Aves, Galliformes, Phasianidae. The record is from RefSeq and is a predicted model, not a curated record.
UGGUACAGAACCACUAUAGACUUCAGCUGUAAACGUGGCCUUGGGUAGCUGACCUUUGGUUAAACUUCUGGACUAAACCACCCAUGUGAGACUGAAAUAACUGGAACCAGAGCUGGAGCACCGCACUAUGCUAGGUUCCGUUGGCUCCAGCUUCAAUGUACGUGAGAUGGGGAAACUUACUGCUAGUGAACAAGGAUGGAAAUUAGUGUCAGUCUGGAAGAUCCACAGCUUCUGCUACAGGGAAAUGAAUAAUUUUUUUAAAAGCAAGUUAAUGAAAUUAGUUAAAAACGCAAAGGGAAUUUAAAAUGAUAUAUAAUUAAAAUCAUAUACUUAAAUUGAGUCCUAGAGCUUGCGCCUAUAAGCAAAUCAAGUUAAUAUUAAGACAAAAAAUCUGAAUUUUGUAGUGAUUUUUUCUAGGAUAAAUAUGUUAAAAUACUGCAUAGCUAUCACAGACUUGAGACUGUUUGGAGUAAGAAGUGCUCUUGAUCAGUGAGUGUCAGCAUUCUGGCAUUGCUACAAACACCGGCCAAACAAACUCGUAAAUUUUUAGUGGAUUAUUUAAUGUUAGCAGUAAGGAAUUCUGGGCGGUGGAAUGGUAAUAAGUCACUGCAAUUUCAUUAAAAUAACACUCUCAUAGAUUACUUCAGUAAAUCUAAAAGAUCAUCAAGAUGAAUGAAGUAAUUAAAAAAUCCUACAAAGGCUACAUCCCCAGUGAUUCUAGCUAUUGUGCAAGGAAGUGAUGGCUCUUAAAUAAAAACAUGCGUAAGUUGAAGGAUUCAGCUUACAGUGGAAUAUUGCUCUUUAUUCCAAUUCCUAUCCCAGGUGUAGUAAUUUCAGGGUUUAUCAGUUUAAUGUGAUUUCAUUGUUUUCUUUUGCAAUUAUCAGCAACUCUUAUAAACUUAAUAUUUGUCAUUAUUUAAGACUGAAAAAGUGGUAGUAGAAUAUAAUAAAGUUGGAAAUAAAAUCUUAACAAUAACAUCUGAGCUCAUAUCUGAAUUGAUUGCAUUAAUAACAGUAGCGGUUGAUACUUUUAUAUUUGGAUGGUUUUUCAAUAUUGUAACCGAAAUAGAACAAGUGCAGUUCAAUAUUUUGUGAACUCUAAUAAGGAAAUACAUGAAUAUAAUAUUUGUGCUGUAGCAAUCGUGAUUCAGAUUAUAUUACUUUACUGCCUUGUCCUACAUCUGCCUG